AGCAACGCCAUUCACUAUAACCAUAAAGCCUCAAGAAAACCAUCACACUCCAUAGUAUCACUUAUAACAGCCUGUUAUUCAUAUCCCGCAAGGAUAAAUCCUACGCACAACACAGAAAAGUUUACCCCUUAUCCCUUUUGCAUCAUGGAGAAGCAACAUAUAAUUAACAAACUUAAGCUCCCGAAUAAUUAUGAGCUACUAGACCUUAAGAAUCAAUGUAUCACAAUUGAUAUAGUAACUUCUAGUAGGAGUAACAAGCCUUCCAUAUAAUUAGAUAGCUGGUUUUCCGUCAAAAAGCAUCAAAGUGCUGCCCUAUAUUGGACACUAUUUACAAACCAGAAUAGGUCUAAAUCUCCUGAGGAUUAGCUCGGAAGAAAGAUAAAAAUAUAGAAACUAAAUUCACCUUAAAAGUAGGCUUAAAAACAGCCACCAAACAACGUUCUAGUUAACAACUAUAUCGCUAAAGUAAUAUCAAACCUAAAUUUUUCUUAAUAGAGGAACCUAACGCAACACUCACUUCGUUAAUGCACCGGCAUUCUAUUAGUAUUCAACAACCAGCUUUCUACAAAAUUUAAAAACUGAAACCAAAAAACACUACACCACAAACCUAUAUAAAGCGAACUCGGCAAUUACGUUCUUUGCCUGUUUACCAAAAACAUCGUCUUCUGAUCACAAGCAUAGAAGAUAAUGCCUGCCCAGUGAAAUUUAAACGGCCGCGUUAGCGUGAGCGUGCUAAGGUAGCGUAAUAAAUAGCCUCUUAAUUGGAGGCCAGUGAAAGGCAAGACUAGGAACACCUGUGCUCUUUAUACCAAAAAAAUUUUUCAUCUAAGUGAAAAGACUUAGAUACUAAAGGAAGACGAAAAGACCCCGCGGAACUUCAUCUUUUCUUACACUACUGCCCAGUAGCACAAAGAUGUAAAAGAUUUGAUUGGGGCAAUCUCGGAACUACCCAAGCUUCCGAUUCCUACUAAAACACAUCUAAAAUUUGGUACAGACAAAACAGCAGUUACCCCGGGGAUAACAGCGUCAUCCAACUUAAGAGUACACAUCGAAAGUUGGGUUUGCGACCUCGAUGUUGGCUUAAGGUUAUCCACAUUAGUGCAACCGCUAUGAAAGGACAGUCUGUUCGACUUAUAUACCCUUACACGAGCUGAGUUAAGACCGGCGCAAGCUAGGUUGGUUUCUAUCUCCUUUAUUAACACCCUCCUUGAUUGUACGAAAGGACCCCAAGGGGUGCACCCAAUCUAAGCACACAAAAUAAACCUCAUACCAUCUCCUUAAGUGACCCCA
This 1290-nucleotide ribosomal RNA is filed under the name Lamprotula leaii. RNAcentral's name for it is "16S ribosomal RNA". The stretch from base 825 to 1290 matches the Rfam family "Bacterial large subunit ribosomal RNA", at positions 2048 to 2752 of the family's 2925-position model. The record is from RNAcentral. Lineage: Eukaryota; Metazoa; Mollusca; Bivalvia; Unionida; Unionidae.